Non-coding RNA from Mus caroli (Ryukyu mouse), 1666 nucleotides. The record is from RefSeq and is a predicted model, not a curated record. NCBI's taxonomy places the organism in Eukaryota, Metazoa, Chordata, Mammalia, Rodentia, Muridae.
AGUGUGUAACACUGUAACAUUAAAGAGUAGUUCUCUUGUCUGGGGAGAUCCUGCUGGGCAGUGCUGGGGCCAGGCCUGGGUUUCACUCUCCCUUGAAGGUUGUGAUGACCCAGUCUGCUGGCAGAAAAGCUCCAACAUGCUGGACAGGAAGGGCUUCCGGGAAGCUGCGUGCUGGCUAACUCUAGGCUGCGACACUCCUGAUAAUCCCAAAGCUACUGGAUGAGAGGGAGUUUCACACGGCCUGUCAAAUCCACGGGAGAUUGGAUUGCCGCCUGAUUGGGAUUCCGCUGUGUGGACAGAUCGCUGUGGAAGACUGUGGCGGUUCACAGCCUUUCCUCACAGAAGAGCAGGGCAUCUCUGUCUCCACUUGCUCAGAUCUUCUUUUAUGCCGCAGGAGAGUUUACAGCCAUCCACAGCAUGGGUUCUGUCUGCGUGUCUGUUGGAUUUAUUUUCCUUAGGGGGACUCAGCUUCUCUGGCCACUGUCAAUAGGCAGCUGCUUUUACAUGGUGGAUUUGUAGGCCUGCCCUGCCCUGACUGCAUCAGUAAGCUCUCUUGCAUUUUUCUUGCUCCCCACACCCUCUGCUUCUCUAGACCUCAUUGCAUUCUCAGUGAGCCACAAUAUCAUUUGAACCGGUACCUGCGGUUUUUUUUUUAAAAAAAAAAAAACUGUACUGACCUAGCUCCUUGUGAGGAGUAGAUGUGGGGUGUGGGUAUCCUCGUGUUGCUCCGACUUUAACAAGGUCCUCAGAUGCCACUCAGAGCACAGCUUUCUCUGUUCCUACUUCCUAAGGAAUCCCCAGGCAGGCUGGGGUGAGUUAUCAAAUGCUACUCGGGUGUGUCCUAAACCUCUGCCUUUUCUACCUGAAUGAAUUAUAGCAACGACCUCAGUGGAUUCCGAACAUCAGGUGCCCAUGUAGUAAUUUCUGUAGUCAUCCUCCUCCCUCAGGGUUCGGGCUCCUCCAAGCUGACCCUGCUUUCCCAAACUCAUCGUAUCUCCUUCCUACAAAUGGCUCAGCUUCCGCAGGUGGUCCCUGCUCUGCCCGUGGUGCCUGGGUGCCUUUCUGGUGUCCAGAUGUACACUUUCUACAAUGUGCACAUAUCCACUCACAAGAGUUCAUGGGUUUGAAAGUUUACCCAAGUGGCAAGGUAGCAGCAAUGGUGGCAGCUUCCUUUUUUUUUUUUUUCAUGCAACAUCCAACUUUCUUAGUGUGGCGGUUGAUGGCAAUCCAGCUAGCUUUAGCUGACUGGGUCAAGAAGGCAUGGCGUCUCAUCCCUUCUCAGGGAUGGGACUCUCAGCUUGUCUCUUCUGCCUGACUGGCAGCAAUGUCUGAUGCCCUGCUGCCUUGUUUGCCACCUGGAGUCUGAGAGUGCAGGCCCUCAGGACAACACCCUCUGGCUGGGAGGGCAGCCUUGGACCCUUGGGGUUCGUGUGGACAGAGCUCCGAACAGUUCUUGGCAGGUGACAGGUGCUUGGUGAACCCAACCCGCGAGCGCACUGAACGAUCAUGAUUAAGAAGCGAGCGGGCUGUCUCGAUGGUAAUGUCAAUUUACCCUCCAGCCAGAACUUCUCAGAGCUUCCGGUUCCACGGAUUCACAGCAGCACUUGGGAACCCACGUAUCUCACACCACCGCCAUGUGUGCUGACAGCCUUGUUCUGGCUCUCCC